Gasterosteus aculeatus aculeatus (three-spined stickleback) is the source of this 1238-nucleotide long non-coding RNA. The record is from Ensembl. NCBI's taxonomy places the organism in Eukaryota, Metazoa, Chordata, Actinopteri, Perciformes, Gasterosteidae.
UCACAACCUGGCUCAAGGGCCAUGGCAAAAAAGGGAACGAGGCAGCAUAACGGCUCAAAAAGGGAUUUAUUUUAUACAAAGGAAUCAACUAAACAUUUAUUUGGUAACGGAUAACUUAAAUAAAACAAGCGGGGUAAUCAAGCCAUAGUUGACACCGCGUGUUGUGGCGAAGAGCUAGCCGUGUAGUCCGAUCAGGUGGGCUUUAUCACCCUUGGCUCACCACUCCCAGGUGCCCCAGAUCUGCAAUCAACUAAAUACAAAGAUGUUACUACCAGAGAAGUAUCACUCCCACAGAGUGGCCUUAAUGAACCACACGGAGGCCGUCACACAUUCGUAAUGCACAUUAGGGCAGUUGAGUUUUUUUCCUCCAGCGAGUGUUCACACCUGUACUUGGUCCUCUGCUGAGCUAAUGUACGGUCAUUUUACAUUCCAUUUAGACAUGGACGGUUUUCUCCCAGUGCUCAGGGUUUUCCUCAAAAAGAAUCUUUCUUAAUCGAUUAAUACAUUCGUUCUGCUAUAAAAGUAGAGUCCAUCACUUAUCCGAGAGUACAGUUCCAGAACCAAGGCUGUGCAUAGAGAAGAUAUGGCCCAGCGUCCGCGUCCCCCCAACCCUUUGACAGGAACACACCCCUGUACCCGCCCCCUGGACCGCGUCCACCCUUGACAAAAUGUCACGCCAAGUUUUCUUGAAAACUCGACAGCCCCGAUAUGAAAGAAUAUUGAACUAGGGCCAGAUUAACACUUCGCAACAUGCAAGCAAUAUGCGAUUCCAGUGGACGAUUCCUAGAUGUAUUCAUUGGCUAUCCAGGAUACCCCUCUCUGCUUGAUCACACCCUACAAAGAGCCAGUGAUUGGACAAGUUCAGGGACGCUUCAAUUACUACCAGUCAAGGGCCCGCAGUAUAAUUGAAAGGGCUUUUGGGGUCAUGAAAACAAGAUGGAGAUCUACACUUUUCAAAGCCUUGAAAAACCAACAUUGUGAAACCAACAUUUGCACCCCAGGUCAUUGCUUCCUGUGUAUAAUGUGUGUUUAGACAACAGGGACAUGCUCGAGCCAGAUGACAUUUCAAGGGACAAUUUUGACGUCCAACCUCCCUGUGAAGCCUUGGCAUACAGCGAAACCUCUGGGAAUGCUACAAGGGACAGACUGGCUGCCCUAGUUUCAGGCAUUGUAUGAACUCAUGAAGAUGACCCAGAUGUGUAUUUUUGUCUGUGUAUGAUAUUUGCAAUAAAAUGUUU